UCCCCGGCCUUGUCCUGGUUGGCUGGCGCGGGACAGGAUCCGGUAAACUGAACAGCGUCUCCUUGUGGCAAGUGCGUGCGUACGUGCGUGGCGACGUCACUGCGUGGCUUCGUGAAUACGUGGCUUCCUAGCGAUUUGGCGGUGUAUAGGCGUGGCUGAAUACGGGCCUCCUGCGUACGUGCGUGGUGUACGUACGUGCGUGAUUACGCGCACACGUACGUUCCUCAUGAAAGGGACGACGGGAGCUGCAUGAAAGCCGAAGUUAUGGACCGCUAGCAUCUGUCACUGGCCACCGGUUUCCGGGAGUAAGCGGCAGCUACCUUACAGCCCUGACACGAGCCGGGUGCUCUCUCUUCUCACCGCGGCCCACGUCUCCUCGCUGGCUCCGGUGGCCUCGCUGGGUCGCGAGGAGGCGGAGGACUGUACUCUGAGGCCAAAAGCCAGAGUCGGCCCUGAACGCCCACGACUCUCAGGGUCCAGAGGCCGUGAGACCGGCCGCGGCUGAAAGGUACCAGGGCCCCUGAUGCCGGAGCCCGUGUGCUCGGCCCUCUUGCAGACGGUAAAGAAACCAAGUGGAAGAGUGUUUCCUCC
Molecule: long non-coding RNA, 591 nt
Filed under: Homo sapiens (human)
Lineage: Eukaryota; Metazoa; Chordata; Mammalia; Primates; Hominidae
Description: non-protein coding lnc-CXorf40B-4:3
Source: RNAcentral